GAGGGUAUGGCUCAGUGGUAGAGCUAGUGCUUAUCAUGCAUGAGGUCCUGGGUUAAAUCCUCAGUACCUCCU
Transfer RNA from Camelus ferus (Wild Bactrian camel), 72 nucleotides. It matches the Rfam family "tRNA". From Rfam's summary of the family: Transfer RNA (tRNA) molecules are approximately 80 nucleotides in length. The record is from Rfam. Lineage: Eukaryota; Metazoa; Chordata; Mammalia; Artiodactyla; Camelidae.